Molecule: ribosomal RNA, 433 nt
Filed under: uncultured bacterium
Lineage: Bacteria
Description: partial 16S ribosomal RNA
Rfam family: Bacterial small subunit ribosomal RNA
Source: RNAcentral
AACGAACGCUGGCGGCAUGCCUAACACAUGCAAGUCGAACGAGACCUUCGGGUCUAGUGGCGCACGGGUGCGUAACGCGUGGGAACCUGCCCUUAGGUUCGGAAUAACUCCCCGAAAGGGGUGCUAAUACCGGAUAAUGUCUUCGGACCAAAGAUUUAUCGACUUUGGAUGGGCCCGCGUUGGAUUAGCUAGUGGGUAGGGUAAAAGCCUACCAAGGCGACGAUCCAUAGCUGGUCUGAGAGGAUGGUCAGCCACACUGGGACUGAGACACGGCCCAGAAUCGUAGGGGAGGCAGCAAAGGGGAAUAUUGGAAAAUGGGGGGAAGCCUGAACCAGCAAGGCCGGGUGAGUGAUGAAGGCCUGAGAGUUGUAAAGCUCUUUUACCCGGGAUGAUAAUGACAGUACCGGGAGAAUAAGCACCGGCUAACUCCGUG